GCCUCGGUGGUGUAGUAGUAGCACGCGUCCCCACUAUGAAUGAAACGCGGGUUCGACUCCCGUCUUAGGUCA
Non-coding RNA from Parelaphostrongylus tenuis, 72 nucleotides. The record is from the annotation of a GenBank genome assembly. Lineage: Eukaryota; Metazoa; Nematoda; Chromadorea; Rhabditida; Metastrongylidae.